GGUUUAGUUUUCUAUCAUCAAAAUUACGUCUCCCGCUCUGUACGUUUUCCCGGACGGAGCUUCUGAUUUUGUAUCUUUUUGUGUUUUAUAUAUAACGUUCAUUUGGAAAUCUGGAACGUGACUGGGUAUUCAUGAUAUUAAGAAUAAUUGUUUCUAACUUUUUUCUCUUUUGAUUUAUUUUCUACGUUUUUUAAUUCCAGAUUUGUAGCCACUAUUUUAAGCCUCUGAUGAAUAAAGCGGAUAGAUUUUAGUGAGGUUUGAUAAUCUUCAUACGUGUGGAUGUUUAUAUACUCACACACAUAUUGUGUUUCAAAUGAUGGCUAGUUGUCCUUGAAGGACAAUAUUAUCUUAAACAAUAGCCUUUUCCCCCCUAAAACUUGAUGUAUGGGUAGAUUAAUUAUAUCCGUUCUAUCUUUAGUUCUCGUAUUUUGGUUUUCACCCAGUUUGUAUGAGUGUACGUUUUAUUUGUGAAACAAAUAGAACUGUUGUGAGAGGUUUCGGUAUUUUAAAUUGUUGUUUGGUUGGUGAUUGAUGACGAUUGCAUGUUUGAUUUUCGACUGUCGUCCUACUUAUUCUCAGAGAUGUGCUUUCCUCCUUAAAAUUGUAAUAUGGGUUGACCAUCAAUUCUUUUUUCCGUGUUCGUUGAUUUAAGUGUGAAAAAAUUGUUGCUUUGUGGGCAGGUGUUAAUUUAAUUCUUGGAGGAAGUCCUCUUGACAAAUACCUUUUCAUUUUCGUGCCAUUUAAAGGCUAACCAAGAUGGUGAAGCUCACAGCAGAUGAGCUUCGGAGGAUUAUGGACUACAAACACAACAUCCGCAAUAUGUCUGUUAUUGCGCAUGUUGAUCAUGGUAAGUCUACACUUACUGAUUCUCUCGUGGCUGCUGCUGGUAUCAUUGCACAAGAAGUUGCGGGUGAUGUCCGGAUGAUGGAUACCCGUGCGGAUGAGGCAGAACGUGGCAUGACAAUUAAAUCCACUGGUAUCUGUCUCUAUUAUGAGAUGACUGAUUAGGCUCUGAAGAGCUACAAGGGAAUGAGUACCUCAUCAAUCUCAUUGACUCCCCCGGGCACUUUGACUUCUCAUCAGAUGUCACAGCCGCGCUUCGCAUUACUGAUGGUGCACUUGUGGUCGUUGAUUGUGUUGAAGGUGUUUGUGUCCAGACGGAAACUGUGCUCAGACAGGCCUUGGCAGAAAGGAUUAGGCCUGUCUUGACUGUUAACAAAAUGGACAGGUGUUUCCUUGAGCUCCAGGUUGAUGGAGAGGAGGCUUAGCAAACAUUCCAGAGGGUUAUUGAAAAUGCAAAUGUCAUCAUGGCCACAUACGAAGAUCCCCUCUUUGGUGAUGUUCAGGUUUAUCGUGAGAAGGGGACAGUUGCCUUCUCUGCUGGUUUGCACGGUUGGGCUUUUACUCUGACCAAUUUUGCCAAGAUGUAUGCCUCCAAGUUUGGAGUGGAUGAGGCCAAGAUGAUGGAAUGGCUCUGGGGUGAAAACUUCUUUGACCCAGCUACAAAGAAAUGGACCAGCAAGAACACUGGGUCUCCUACCUGCAAGCGUGGACUUGUUCAGUUCUGCUAUGAACCUAUAAAGCAGGUAAUCAACACUUGCAUAAAUGACCAGAAGGACAAGUUGUGGCCAAUGUUGCAGAAGCUUGGUGUCACCAUGAAGUCAGAGGAGAAGAUUUAAUGGGGAAGGCAUUGAUGAAACGUGUCAUGCAGACCUGGCUGCCAGCUAGUAGUGCCCUGUUGGAAAUGAUGAUAUUUCACCUUCCCUCUCCUGGCACGGCCCAAAAGUAUCGUGUUGAGAACUUGUACGAGGGUCCCCUCGAUGAUAUUUAUGCUAAUGCUAUCAGAAACUGUGAUCCCGAGGGCCCUCUAAUGCUCUAUGUAUCAAAAAUGAUUCCUGCAUCUGAUAAGGGUAGGUCCUUUGCCUAUGGUCGGGUGUUUGCUGGUAAGGUCUCGACUGGGCUGAAAGUUAGAAUCAUGGGUCCCAACCAUGUGCCUGGGGAAAAGAAGGACUUGUAUGUUAAGAGUGUGCAGAGAACUGUUAUCUGGAUGGGGAAGAAGCAGGAAACAGUAGAGGACGUUCCUUGCGGUAACACGGUUGCCUUGGUUGGGUUGGAUCAGUAUAUCACCAAGAAUGCUACUUUGACAAAUGAGAAGGAAGUUGAUGCGCACCCAAUCCGUGCCAUGAAGUUGUCUUUAUCGCCUGUCGUACGUGUGGCUGUUCAAUGCAAGGCUGCAUCUAACCUUCCCAAGCUUGUUGAAGGACUAAAACGUUUGGCAAAGUAGGAUCCUAUGGUCGUCUGUUCUAUUGAAGAGUCUGGAGAGCGCAUCAUAGCUGGUGCUGGAGAACUCCACCUUGAGAUCUGUUAGAAGGAUUUGCAGGAUGAUUUUAUGGGUGGUGCAGAGAUUAUUAAGUCUGAUCCUGUUGUAUCCUUCCGUGCGACAGUCCUUGAGAUGUCUUCCCGUACUGUGAUGAGCAAGUCACCCAACAAGCACAAUCGUUUGUACAUGGAAGCCCGUCCCUUGGAAGAGGGGCUUGCAGAGGCCAUUGAUGAUGGCCGUAUCGGUCCAAGGGAUGAUCCUAACGUUCAUUCCAAAAUCUUGUCUGAGGAGUUUGGUUGGGAUAAGGAUCUUGCGAAUAAAAUUUGGUGUUUUGGCCCGGAGACUACCGGCCCUAAUAUGGUAGUGGCUAUGUGUAAGGGAGUUCAGUACGUGAAUGAAAUUAAGGAUUCUGUUGUGGCCGGGUUUCAGUGGGCUUCUAAGGAAGGUGCAUUGGCUGAAGAAAACAUGAGAGGUAUCUGCUUUGAAGUCUGUGAUGUGGUUCUUCACGCCGAUGCCAUCCACAGAGGUGGUGGUCAGGUCAUUCCAACUGCUAGGAGGGUUAUAUAUGCUUCCCGGCUGACUGCCAAACCCAGGCUUCUUGAACCUGUGUACUUGGUGGAGAUCCAAGCUCCUGAACAGGCACUUGGUGGUAUCUACAGUGUUCUUAACCAGAAACGUGGGCAUGUGUUUGAGGAAAUCCAGAGGCCUGGUACGCCUCUUUACAACAUCAAGGCAUACCUUCCUGUCAUUGAAUCUUUGGGAUUCUCAAGUACGUUGAGGGCUGCAACCUCAGGGCAGGCUUUCCCCCAAUGUGUCUUCGAUCACUGGGAUAUGAUGUCAUCUGAUCCAUUGGAAUCUGGAUCACAGGCAGCGCAGCUUGUGACGGACAUUCGCAAUAGGAAGGGCUUGAAGGAGCAGAUGAAGUCGUUUUACCGGUGGAGCAAGAAGUUAUGAACCUGGGUGAGAGAUUGACUGCAGGGAAUCAUCCCUCCACAGCCGCCACCUUGCUCUCUCUUUCGCUUUACUUUGUGUCCUGUUUAUUGUCGUAGUAAUGUGUCUUAUUGGAAUCAACCUCCAUUGUUAUCGUCUUAGUUUGGUCUGUAAAUAUUUCUUUCGAAGGACAGGAUGUAAUUUCGUAUUGAGUUACAUUUACUAUGUUUUGAACUAUUCCGACUGAUGGUUAAAUUAUUUAGUUGCCGUGACUUGUGACGGUGCUUUUCUUUUAUGCA
This is an RNA transcript of Carya illinoinensis, 3549 nucleotides long. It is a transcript of the gene named elongation factor 2-like, with no coding region annotated. Lineage: Eukaryota; Viridiplantae; Streptophyta; Magnoliopsida; Fagales; Juglandaceae. The transcript has 3 exons. The record is from RefSeq and is a predicted model, not a curated record.